Molecule: ribosomal RNA, 678 nt
Filed under: Triticum aestivum (bread wheat)
Lineage: Eukaryota; Viridiplantae; Streptophyta; Magnoliopsida; Poales; Poaceae
Description: partial small subunit ribosomal RNA
Source: RNAcentral
AUGGGUGAGCUGGCCGCUCUGCUUCGCCCUCCCACGGCUGCGCUCGCAUCCGGGCCGCGACCCGGCCUACCCAUUCACCUUCUUCCUCCUGCUCGCUGCCCUCUCGCCUCGUCUGCCUCCGUCCCUCCACUCCGCUGGAUGCAUCCGCCCCGUCGUCGCCAACUCCCUCCUCAAACUCUACUGCGCCCGUGGCCUCCCGCCCCACGCGCGCAAGGUGUUCGACCCGGGCGCCGCCUCAUCGAACGCAAUGUUGUCCAGGCAUGGGCGCAUGGCAAGAGCGGCGACCUGCGGCAGCGCGGGAAGUGUUUGCAAGAAUGCCGGAGCGGAACCUGGCGUUGUCUUGGAGCGCAAUGGUCGACGCGCCGCUUGUGCGUGCAGGGGAGUGAGUUCGACAAGGCGCUGCGCACAUUUGACCGGAUUAUGGGGGGAGGCUUUCAAGUCAGAUGUACCGGUGCUGGUGUGUCUUGGUGUGGUCGAGAGGGAUUGAUGGGUCCAUCGGUAUCUGCAAAUGGAGGGGUUGCAGGGAGGCAAAGGGAUGGCAUGGUUGAGGCCGCGCCGGUGGACAUGUACUGCAAGUGUGGGUGCGUGGAGGAGGCGUGGUGUGUGACUGCGUUCGCCGCCGUGAAUUGUGCUGUGGAAUUCAGUGACCAGAUAGCUUGCAAUGAAUGGCCAUGGUGA